AACUAGUCCUCAUCUAUUUAUAUUGUUAAAAACUGGCAUAGCUGACGAAAUAACCAAACAAUGAUACGUGACGUGUACCUUAUGAUAAUAUACAGGGACGGGUUUUUAACAGUAGAAAUGGAUAAGAAUUUUAAUA
Non-coding RNA from Gossypium hirsutum (cotton), 136 nucleotides. NCBI's taxonomy places the organism in Eukaryota, Viridiplantae, Streptophyta, Magnoliopsida, Malvales, Malvaceae. The record is from Rfam.